UAGACCUUUAAUAUAGUCCUGAGAGGCUAGCAAGGUAUCAUAUUUAGGCAAGCUGCAGAUUGUUGCAGUUUGAUUGCGCGUAGAUAUAUUACCUUCUAGCUCUCGAGUUGGAAGGCUUUUUAUU
Non-coding RNA from Clostridiales bacterium GWB2_37_7, 124 nucleotides. Lineage: Bacteria; Bacillati; Bacillota; Clostridia; Eubacteriales. The record is from Rfam.